UUGGAGAUAGCGUUGGGGAAGGAGAGC
This 27-nucleotide small RNA is filed under the name Bombyx mori (domestic silkworm). Its description in RNAcentral is "ovarian small RNA-37994". The record is from RNAcentral. Lineage: Eukaryota; Metazoa; Arthropoda; Insecta; Lepidoptera; Bombycidae.